This 465-nucleotide ribosomal RNA is filed under the name uncultured Klebsiella sp. Its description in RNAcentral is "bacterial SSU rRNA". It matches the Rfam family "Bacterial small subunit ribosomal RNA", at positions 338 to 795 of the family's 1533-position model. Lineage: Bacteria; Pseudomonadati; Pseudomonadota; Gammaproteobacteria; Enterobacterales; Enterobacteriaceae. The record is from RNAcentral.
CCUACGGGUGGCAGCAGUGGGGAAUAUUGCACAAUGGGCGCAAGCCUGAUGCAGCCAUGCCGCGUGUGUGAAGAAGGCCUUCGGGUUGUAAAGCACUUUCAGCGGGGAGGAAGGCGUUAAGGUUAAUAACCUUGUCGAUUGACGUUACCUGCAGAAGAAGCACCGGCUAACUCCGUGCCAGCAGCCGCGGUAAUACGGAGGGUGCAAGCGUUAAUCGGAAUUACUGGGCGUAAAGCGCACGCAGGCGGUCUGUCAAGUCGGAUGUGAAAUCCCCGGGCUCAACCUGGGAACUGCAUUCGAAACUGGCAGGCUAGAGUCUUGUAGAGGGGGGUAGAAUUCCAGGUGUAGCGGUGAAAUGCGUAGAGAUCUGGAGGAAUACCGGUGGCGAAGGCGGCCCCCUGGACAAAGACUGACGCUCAGGUGCGAAAACGUGGGGAGCAAACAGGAUUAGAUACCCCAGUAGUC